AUUGAACGCUGGCGGCAGGCCUAACACAUGCAAGUCGAGCGAGUGGCGGACGGGUGAGUAAUGUAUGGGGAACUGCCUGAUAGAGGGGGAUAACUACUGGAAACGGUGGCUAAUACCGCAUACCAUCGGAUGUACCCAUAUGGGAUUAGCUAGUUGGUGGGGUAACGGCUCACCUAGGCGACGAUCCCUAGCUGGUCUGAGAGGAUGACCAGCCACACUGGUACUGAGACACGGGCCAGAGUCCUACGGGAGGCAGCAGUGGGGAAUAUUGCACAAUGGGCGCAAGCCUGAUGCAGCCAUGCCGCGUGUAUGAAGAAGGCCUUAGGGUUGUAAAGUACUUUCAGCGGGGAGGCGUUACCCGCAGAAGAAGCACCGGCGAACGACGGGCCAGCAGCCGCGGUAAUAC
RNAcentral lists this ribosomal RNA (406 nucleotides) under uncultured bacterium. RNAcentral's name for it is "partial 16S ribosomal RNA". It matches the Rfam family "Bacterial small subunit ribosomal RNA", at positions 30 to 526 of the family's 1533-position model. The record is from RNAcentral.